AACGCUAAAUAACAACAAAGAAGAGGAGGAGCUUUUAACGGGAGUAUCGCCGGCAGAGAGAGAGAGAGAGAGAGAGAGAGAGAGAGAGAGAGAGAGAGAGAGGGGGGGGGGCUGAGACGGCACAGGAGCAUGCACUCGCGAUAUUUUGUGCCGCGGAAAAAGUAAAGUUCAGGGGCAGAAAAGGUCACAGAGGAAAGCCUUGUGUAUGUAGCUCUCCUCCUCCUCCUCCUCCUCCUCCUCCUCCUCCUCCUCUUCCUCCUCCUACUGAUUCUACUCUUGUUCUUCUCCGUCCCCUCCUCCUCCUCCUCCUCUUCAUCUCUCUUCCUCUGUUUUUCUCUCUGUGUUUAUCUGAAAGCAGGAUACUGACAGCCGUACCCUCCAGUGACAGCAACAGGUCGUUCAGGCUCUCUUUCUCUCUCUCGUACUAUCUCUCUUUUUCUUUGCAAGUCUGUCAGUAUGAAUCCCUGUCUGUCUGUCUGUCUAUCUGUAAGUCUGCCUGUCUGUCUAUCUAUCGGUCUUUUUCCCUGCAAGUCUGUCAGUAUGAAUGUCUAUGUCUGUCUAUCUGUAAGUCUGCCUGUCUGUCUAUCUAUCUAUGUCUUUUUCCCUGGAAGUCUGUCAGUAUGAAUGUCUAUGUCUGUCUAUCUGUAAGUCUGCCUGUCUGUCUAUCUAUCUAUGUCAUUUUCCCUGCAAGUCUGUCAGUAUGAAUAUCUAUGUCUGUCUAUCUGUAAGUCUGCCUGUCUGUCUAUCUAUCUAUCUGUCUUUUUCCCUGCAAGUCUGUUAGUAUGAAUGUCUACGUCUGUCUAUCUGUAAGUCUGCCUGUCUGUCUAUCUAUCCAUCUAUCUGUCUGUCUCUCGUAUGGCCUAUCUCCACCCACAAUGUCUAUACUACACCCCUUCGGCUUCACUGUAUAACUGCGAUGACUCCUUCUACACCCACAUCCCGAGUCUUGCACCGAGGACCUAACUAACGCUGCCCCUUUAAGACUCUCCUUUUGCCAACCGAUGAAACAGAACAGUGUAACCAACAACACCGGGGGGACGAGACUAAUGAUAACUCCUUUGAUACUCUCCUUUUGCUAACCGAUGAAACAUAACAGUGCAACCAACAACACCGGGGGACGAGACUAAUGAUAACUCCCUUGAUACUCUCCUUUUGCUUACCGAUGAAACAGAACAGUGCAACCAACAACACCGGGGGGACGAGACUAAUGAUAACUCCUUUGAUACUCUCCUUUUGCUUAGUGAUGAAACGGAACUCUGCAUCGUAACUUAUGACUGGUUAAAACUCAGCAUGUCCGAUAUCGUUGGCUGCGUGUGAUAAAUAUUCAAACUAUUUCGUAUAUGAGAGAUUGGAAUGUUUAUAAAGAACCCGGACACAUUCUUAUAUAACUCCCAAACAUGCCGCUUUGCACGAUGAUACGCCGUACGGGCACGUGAAAGACAAGCUUGUACCAAACACUCGUCAGAUUAUACUCCAGCAAACAACAGGCUUUACUUAAUAGCUUUUAUCUCAUUUCAGGUACAAAAAAAAAGACAAUUGGCUUUGUAAGUGGAACUGAAAUGUAUUUUAAUAAUUUAAUGGAUGUAAGUCACAUGGGUAAUAUUGGAUGUAGCGUGAAUUAUUACUGAAUGUGAGUCUACCGCAGGCUAUUUCCAAUAUUACCUAUGUCAUUUACAUCCAAUGAAUAAUUGAAAUAACUUUUAUUACCAUUUACAGAGGCAAUGUCUUUUUAUGGACCAGAAAUGAGAUAAAUAACAAGUUUAAAAAAAAAUCACUGUUCGUUCGAGUAUGAUCUGACGCGACUGUUUGAUACACGCUUGCCUUUUGGGAGUCUGUGUGGCAUACUGGUGAGGCAAAUAUGACUGUUUGGGAUUAUAAGGGGUGAGGGUUUAUUGCAUAUAUGAUAACUCAAAUAUAUCAUUCCAUAAAAAGGUUCAAUAUAUAUUACAACAGCUGACGUUCAUUAAAUCGCAAACUAUCGAUGCACGCGUCCACACCCACGCCCGCGAGUGGACAGAUGGAAUGAAAAUAACUGUAUCUGUCUGUAUAUCUACCUGUCUACUUUUCCGUAUCCGUCUGUCCGUCUGUAUCUUGGUAAAUGUUUGCCUUUCCGUCUAUUUUUAUGUCUGUCUAUCUCUGUUUGUAAGUGUCUGCCUGUCUGCCUAUCUAUCUCCAUCUAUCUAUCUGUCUGUACGUCUAUUUGUCAGUGCCUAGCUGUCUACUUUUAGGUAUGCCUCUGUCUGUCUGUAUCUUGGUAAAUAUCUGCCUGUCUGUCUAUUUUUUCUGUCUAUCUUUCUGUUUGCGUCUGGCUGUCUGUCUAUCUCUAUCUAUCUAUCUGUCUGUAUGUCGGUUUGUCUGUGCCCUUUUGUCUAUCUCUAUCUAUCUGUCUGCAUGCCUAUCUAUUCUCUCUUCCCUGGUCUGUCUCUUUUACAUACACAAUAUACAGUACGAAUGCUUGAAGACUCCAUUUCUAUAGCGCUGGGCAAGGUGUUUUAAUCUAUUCAUGAGUCAUCGGUGAAUAAACCAAGUCAUUCAUUCAUGGUAUAGAUGUGAAGUUAUUCAUAAGGAGUUGGUUAUGAUAUUCAGCGCAUUCGAGGGUGAAAAAGUGGAGUCAAGUCUUGUGUGUGAGUAAUCAGGUGUUUUUAAUCUAUUCAUGAGUCAUCGGUGAGUAAGCCAUAUCUCCUCAUCUUUGUACUGACAUCACCCUUUAAAUCUUCAUACUGACAUCACCCUUUAAAUCUUCAUACUGACAUCACCCUUUAAAUCCUCAUACUGACAUCACCCUUUAAAUCCUCAUACUGACAUCACCCUUUAAAUCCUCAUACUGACAUCACCCUUUAAAUCUUCAUACUGACAUCACCCUUUAAAUCCUCAUACUGACAUCACCCUUUAAAUCCUCAUACUGACAUCACCCUUUAAAUCUUCAUACUGACAUCACCCUUUAAAUCCUCAUACUGACAUCACCCUUUAAAUCUUCAUACUGACAUCACCCUUUAAAUCUUCAUACUGACAUCACCCUUUAAAUCCUCAUACUGACAUCACCCUUUAAAUCCUCAUACUGACAUCACCCUUUAAAUCUUCAUACUGACAUCACCCUUUAAAUCUUCAUACUGACAUCACCCUUUAAAUCCUCAUACUGACAUCACCCUUUAAAUCUUCAUACUGACAUCACCCUUUAAAUCCUCAUACUGACAUCACCCUUUAAAUCUUCAUACUGACAUCACCCUUUAAAUCCUCAUACUGACAUCACCCUUUAAAUCUUCAUACUGACAUCACCCUUUAAAUCUUCAUACUGACAUCACCCUUUAAAUCCUCAUACUGACAUCACCCACUCAUUUCCGAAAGCGUGGGUUGCUUAAGCGCAUUCCUAGCUGAGAAAUGGAGUCUUUUGUUGUGUGAGUAAUAAUGUUGGGGUCUUUUAUUCUUAUGGACAUCUUAAACAUCAUUUCCAUGCUUGCUCUGAGGCACUGUGAGGUGACAUAUGACGUGUGCCGAGGAUUUUGAGUUGUAAGUGUUGGAUCUCCUGGGCUUCCUUGAGUGGGUUGUGUCUGUCUUCCUCUCUAUCUAUCUAUCUAUCUACCUGUCUAUCUAUCUAUCUUUAGGGUCGUCAAAGUCGUCAUUAUGUUCACUUUUUUACGAGUCAAAGUCAUCAUCCUGUUCUGUCUAUUCUUUUACAAGCCUAAGUUCUCAUCCUCUUUCUUUUUUUCUGCUAAGACAAGACUCUCUUCCGUACAGUGUUCCUGGUGGGAGGCUGGCCAGUCCCCUGCUCUCAGCCAUACUAAAGUGGAGGGGUGGAAGGAAGGAAGGAGGUGAAGACAGGGCAGAGAAAAACACACAUAGUACAAAUUUAGUUCAGCCAAUUAGUCGCUUUGUUUACAUAUAAUCUGUGGGCAGCAUUAGGGGGCCGGGCAAACACAAUCCUCUACGGGUGUGUGGUGUGUUGUUGCAUUCGAGGACGGGUGUUCUUUAUUUCGUAUUCUCUCGUUUGUCUCUUGUUUGUCUCCGUCUCUCCCAGUGUCAAGUGCGGGGAGAGUGAGCGAGGGGUUGUGUAUCUUUAAUCUGUAUGUGUGUGUGUGUGUGUGUGUGCGUGUGUGUGUGUCAACGUUGCCAGAUUGUCGUACUCAGCCGCUUAUAUUUCCCGACUUCCUACCUCCAAACUGUCUUCUGGGCUCCGAUAACGAAACUCAUUUAUAGUUAUCGUUAAAAGAGUUAGAUCCUGAUGUUUCGUGGCAAUAUUUAGGCGUCAGAAACCGGUAAAUACUAUGCUCUGAGUACGACAAUCUGGCAACUGUGGUGUGUGUGCGUGUGUGUGUGUGCUAAUACCCAACGGUCUCAACACACACAAAAGGCAAAGGAUUACACUACACAAUAUCUCCUUUACCGUACAUUAACUUAACCAAUACAAGGAAACAUUAAAACAUCAUCAAAUUUCAACAAUAGAACACUGAAAGAACCUAACCUGGGACUUCAAGACAAUACGAUAAACACUAAUAACUACUUCAGAGCUUCAAGUCACGGCUCAGUUCUUCCGCUGGGCCAAGUAUUGUAAGGGUGACUUAAACAUACCCACAAGUUAACACCAUUUAGUUACACAUCUAAGCGAAUAUUUCAAGGCGUGUUUACAGUUGAUAAGAGAUGUAAUGCUGCCCACAGAAGCUUAUUUUGGGGUUUGUUUAGGCUGGGUCGUGUUAGGUGGGUGGCAGUGGGGUGAGUGUUGCAGCAGGCAGUUUUUAAGGGGGUUUAAGACAAAGGUGCAUGUACGGGGUAGUUCCACACUGUUGCUGGUGCAGGAGGAGAGACUGAAUGAAGGGGGUGAUUUGUGAAAAGGGGAAAUAUAAGUGGGAGGUGUGAAAAAAAGGUAAAAAAUUGGACCAAAAUGAGAAGAAAACGUUGGACAAAAACAUGGAAAAAACACGAGCUUUAAAAUUUGGACUGGUCAAAAAUAUAGGAAAACCGUGAGUGUAAAAAUGACAAAAAGAUGAGAUAUGAAAAAGUGUAAAAAUUGGACAAAAACGAGAAAACAUUGAACACAAAUAUGGAAAAAACACGAGCUAUAAAAUUUGGA
Eriocheir sinensis (Chinese mitten crab) is the source of this 5065-nucleotide long non-coding RNA. RefSeq lists it as uncharacterized. The record is from RefSeq and is a predicted model, not a curated record. NCBI's taxonomy places the organism in Eukaryota, Metazoa, Arthropoda, Malacostraca, Decapoda, Varunidae. The transcript has 3 exons.